AAUACUACAAUUAUCAAAGUACCUAAUGUGUUACGACAAACGCACAAACGAAAACGAAAUAGCGAAUACAAAAGAAACAAACCACAAGCAAAAAUAAAGAAAAAACAUAGAUAUAUGUGAAAAAUCCUUUGCAGGAAAAAAUCACGGACGAGGAAGAAAAGAACUUCACUAUCAAAACGAAACUAUCUGCUACCUACCACAGACAUUCAUUUUUUCCUUCACAAAUUUAUUUUUCAAUUUGAUCACACCACGAAACUAUCGGCGAGUCGAAAAACCCGGACUUGAAUCGAUUACCAAUUUUGCGUCACAUCUAACAUAAU
RNAcentral lists this long non-coding RNA (320 nucleotides) under Ananas comosus (pineapple). Its description in RNAcentral is "long non-coding RNA (ACOM_LNC021534)". Lineage: Eukaryota; Viridiplantae; Streptophyta; Magnoliopsida; Poales; Bromeliaceae. The record is from RNAcentral.